CGCUCUGGUGGUCUAGCGGUUAGAGCAUCCACCUCGGAUGCGGGAGGUUGUGGUUCGAUUCCCAGCUGAGUCA
Potamilus streckersoni is the source of this 73-nucleotide non-coding RNA. Lineage: Eukaryota; Metazoa; Mollusca; Bivalvia; Unionida; Unionidae. The record is from the annotation of a GenBank genome assembly.